CGUUCCCGGGCCUUGUACACACCGCCCGUCAAGUCACGAAAGUCGGUAACACCCGAAGCCGGUGGCCCAACUGUUUACAGAGGGAGCCGUCGAAGGUGGGACUGGCGAUUGGGACU
RNAcentral lists this ribosomal RNA (116 nucleotides) under uncultured bacterium. Its description in RNAcentral is "partial 16S ribosomal RNA". It matches the Rfam family "Bacterial small subunit ribosomal RNA", at positions 1369 to 1482 of the family's 1533-position model. The record is from RNAcentral.